Molecule: long non-coding RNA, 1380 nt
Filed under: Homo sapiens (human)
Lineage: Eukaryota; Metazoa; Chordata; Mammalia; Primates; Hominidae
Description: HSALNT0175179
Source: RNAcentral
CAAGUCUGAUUUCAGAUUGGAAGCUAAAAGGCUCAAGUCCUUUUCUGUUUCCUUUUCUAACUCCCCCUAACCAGGUUGCAGAAGCCCUACAAGCUUUCACUAAAAGAUUACACUGCCAGGGGUUGACGAUUUGAUGUGCUGGUGGUCAUUUUUUCCAUUGGAGAUCCGCAAACUCUGAAACUUAAACGAUUUAACUACAAACACACAGCAAAUGAUGAAAAGAUAGCGGUCACCUCAGCUGAAAUUUGGUGGAAGUAAAAAGUACUUCUCUGGGUCUUCUGAGGAAGCUUCUGGUGUGAGAUGCAAACACUCUGAACUCCAGGGACCAAGCUCUAUUUCAUGCCAAGGUUACUCAACACCCAGAAGGCAGAACAGCGACCUCUCUCUCUCCAUCUGCAGAAGCCAAGCAAGCGUGUGGGCCUCCGUAUGCAUCCUUUCUUUUAUUCACUUUCUAAAUGCUGUAACGGCUACCAUCUACCAGGUGGUCACAAACCAUCUCUAAAGUCAAUCUGAGGUUAACCCACUCGACUUGUGAGGGAUCCACCUAUACUGCUUCUGCACCUGUAAUAUGACUAAGGAGACGGUGGCUGCACACGUAGUUAACACCGAUUGUACUGUGACUCCGCCUUUCCGCAGCAGCUCUCCGGCUCUUUAGAGUCCUUUUGAGCCAAGCUGGACGUGAGGCAUAAAGGAGCUCUUUGCAAACGCCAGGAGGAAUUUCUUCAGGGUGAAGUUAACUUUCAAUCGGCUUCAUUCUAAGAGAAAUAUGUGAAGCAAACAAACGGGAACUUUUUUUCUCAUCUUUUGCAUUUCAAGCAAAAACUAAUAAAAUUAGAUGUUUCCACCGUCAUGCUCAGUCUCGAAGCUGCCAGCAGAUCCCGCUUCUAACUUUUAACACAGGCACGCAGGAAAUCGGGAAAUCCCUGCAGUUCCCUCAGAAGCUACAGUAUCAGCAGUUCCUGAAGCGCAAACCAAAACCCAACAUCAUGUACCCCUCCAAAGAGCUCAGCCGGUCUGUUGAGGGACGGAAACAGCGGCGAGGUGCUCUGGAAGCCGUGACAGCCUGGCCGAAAUGAACCAGGUCCCUCCUGGUCGAGCCUACCUCCCUAGGGACAAGAAACGUACCUCUCUUCCCUCAUAUCCAGAGGAAGCAAUGGAGGGAUGUGGCGCUUAGACUCACUCUACUAUCCAGUCCAUCGAAGUCCUAAUAAUCUUCAGGAUGCGACAGAGUGAGACUCCGUCUCAACAAAACAAAACAAAACAACCCUAAGGAAAAGAGAGAAUGUACUGGAGGAUAGGAAGUAUCUAGGAGAACCUUCUUUUUUUUUUUUCUUAUAUUUAAAUUUAAGCCUUCAUUUAUAUAAAAUAAAACGCAUGAAA